RNAcentral lists this ribosomal RNA (253 nucleotides) under uncultured bacterium. RNAcentral describes it as "partial 16S ribosomal RNA". It matches the Rfam family "Bacterial small subunit ribosomal RNA", at positions 524 to 776 of the family's 1533-position model. The record is from RNAcentral.
UACGUAGGCAGCAAGCGUUGUUCGGAAUUACUGGGCGUAAAGGGCGCGUAGGCGGCCUUCUAAGUCGAACGUGAAAUCCCCGGGCUCAACCCGGGAACUGCGUCCGAUACUGGAAGGCUUGAAUCCGGGAGAGGGAUGCGGAAUUCCAGGUGUAGCGGUGAAAUGCGUAGAUAUCUGGAGGAACACCGGUGGCGAAGGCGGCAUCCUGGACCGGCAUUGACGCUGAGGCGCGAAAGCCAGGGGAGCAAACGGG